Empidonax traillii (willow flycatcher) is the source of this 268-nucleotide long non-coding RNA. RefSeq lists it as uncharacterized. The record is from RefSeq and is a predicted model, not a curated record. Lineage: Eukaryota; Metazoa; Chordata; Aves; Passeriformes; Tyrannidae. The transcript has 3 exons.
GCGGGGAUGUGCGUCCAUACACAGCACGGAGGUGCUCCUGGAGAAACCCGUGUUUGCACGGAAUUUGUCUCGUGCUCACGGCUGGAGGUGGCAUUUCCCCCAGGUGUAGUGGCCCAGUGGGCCCCAAGUCCAUCCUCAGUUUUUGCAUACACCAGUGAGCACACCACUGGAUGAGUGCAAUACCUUGCUGUGACCACCUCCUUGUACAAUGUUCAGAUGAGUCAUUGCAACAGCCUAAAUCCCGCCAGUGCACAAAAGCAAAAGCAAA